This is a long non-coding RNA of Sinocyclocheilus grahami, 282 nucleotides long. RefSeq lists it as uncharacterized. The record is from RefSeq and is a predicted model, not a curated record. The transcript is spliced from 3 exons. Lineage: Eukaryota; Metazoa; Chordata; Actinopteri; Cypriniformes; Cyprinidae.
GUAAAUUUCAAAUCUACAGAGAUGGGAUCUUCAACGGUUGAGAUUCGGGAGCGGCAAUAGGAAUGAUUCACAACUGUGCAUACUACAUAUUCACCCUGGAGUACCAGGAAGAGACAGCCGGUAACUUGGACAUUCAAAGAUGCUUUGUUGGUAAUAAAUCCAGAGGAACAAAAAAGUUGAAAGGUUUGAAAACAAAAGGGCAAAUGGUGCAGAAGAAACAGCUUGAAGUGAACCCACAUGUUGCCACUCUUCUUUGCAAAGUGAAGGGUUUUCAGUGGAAUU